This 1343-nucleotide ribosomal RNA is filed under the name uncultured bacterium. RNAcentral's name for it is "16S ribosomal RNA". It matches the Rfam family "Bacterial small subunit ribosomal RNA", at positions 28 to 1378 of the family's 1533-position model. The record is from RNAcentral.
GACGAACGCUGGCGGCGUGCUUAACACAUGCAAGUCGAACGGAAAGGCCCUGCUUUUGUGGGGUGCUCGAGUGGCGAACGGGUGAGUAACACGUGAGUAACCUGCCCUUGACUUUGGGAUAACUUCAGGAAACUGGGGCUAAUACCGGAUAGGAGCUCCUGCUGCAUGGUGGGGGUUGGAAAGUUUCGGCGGUUGGGGAUGGACUUGCGGCUUAUCAGCUUGUUGGUGGGGUAGUGGCUUACCAAGGCUUUGACGGGUAGCCGGCCUGAGAGGGUGACCGGCCACAUUGGGACUGAGAUACGGCCCAGACUCCUACGGGAGGCAGCAGUGGGGAAUAUUGCACAAUGGGCGGAAGCCUGAUGCAGCAACGCCGCGUGCGGGAUGACGGCCUUCGGGUUGUAAACCGCUUUCGCCUGUGACGAAGCGUGAGUGACGGUAAUGGGUAAAGAAGCACCGGCUAACUACGUGCCAGCAGCCGCGGUGAUACGUAGGGUGCGAGCGUUGUCCGGAUUUAUUGGGCGUAAAGGGCUCGUAGGUGGUUGAUCGCGUCGGAAGUGUAAUCUUGGGGCUUAACCCUGAGCGUGCUUUCGAUACGGGUUGACUUGAGGAAGGUAGGGGAGAAUGGAAUUCCUGGUGGAGCGGUGGAAUGCGCAGAUAUCAGGAGGAACACCAGUGGCGAAGGCGGUUCUCUGGGCCUUUCCUGACGCUGAGGAGCGAAAGCGUGGGGAGCGAACAGGCUUAGAUACCCUGGUAGUCCACGCUGUAAACGGUGGGUACUAGGUGUGGGGUCCAUUCCACGGGUUCCGUGCCGUAGCUAACGCUUUAAGUACCCCGCCUGGGGAGUACGGCCGCAAGGCUAAAACUCAAAGGAAUUGACGGGGCCCCGCACAAGCGGCGGAGCAUGCGGAUUAAUUCGAUGCAACGCGUAGAACCUUACCUGGGUUUGACAUGGAUCGGGAGUGCUCAGAGAUGGGUGUGCCUCUUUUGGGGUCGGUUCACAGGUGGUGCAUGCCUGUCGUCAGCUCGUGUCGUGAGAUGUUGGGUUAAGUCCCGCAACGAGCGCAACCCUUGUUCACUGUUGCCAGCACGUUAUGGUGGGGACUCAGUGGAGACCGCCGGGGUCAACUCGGAGGAAGGUGGGGAUGACGUCAAGUCAUCAUGCCCCUUAUGUCCAGGGCUUCACGCAUGCUACAAUGGCUGGUACAGAGAGUGGCGAGCCUGUGAGGGUGAGCGAAUCUCGGAAAGCCGGUCUCAGUUCGGAUUGGGGUCUGCAACUCGACCUCAUGAAGUCGGAGUCGCUAGUAAUCGCAGAUCAGCAACGCUGCGGUGAAUACGUUCCCGGG